This is a long non-coding RNA of Medicago truncatula (barrel medic), 856 nucleotides long. RefSeq lists it as uncharacterized. The record is from RefSeq and is a predicted model, not a curated record. The transcript has 3 exons. NCBI's taxonomy places the organism in Eukaryota, Viridiplantae, Streptophyta, Magnoliopsida, Fabales, Fabaceae.
ACUACCCUCUCUCAUUUAUUUGUUGCUGUUACUUCUCUCUCUAAAGAAGAACCAAAGUAGCCUCUUCUUUCUCCUUUAAAGUUGAAACCACCAACCACCGUCAUCCACCUUUCCGGUAACCCACCACCGCACGCCCACCUCCAUGGCUGUUAAAACCAACACCAUUGAACUUCUCACUUCUUUCUAUUUAAAAACCACCCUCUUAUUUCUAGAUCUAUGAGAUUUUAAAAUUUUCAAUCAUCGCCAUCUGUCUUAGAUUCCCGGCCACCAUGGACCAAUUUUCAGAAACUAAAUUGAUAUUAUUUUUCCCUAUGAGAUUCACUACAAAACCCCUAAAUUUAUUUCACAAUCAGUGCAACUUCACCAGUGACCACCGCAUCGGAGUCCUUGCUGCCGUGCCGGAAAACUUUUUCGCGGCAAUUUCAUCAUUUUUCUUCUUUUGGGUAUCAUUAAAGAUGAUGUAAAAGACAAUGUAGAUGAUGAAUUUCAAAAGGACAACAUAGGUGAUGGAUUUCAAGAGUAAGACGUAGAAGAUGAAUUUCAAAAGGAUGUUGUAUCAUUGAAGAUGAUUUAAAGGACAAUAUAGAUGAUGAACUUCAAGAGGACAACAUAGGUGAUGAACUUCAAGAGGAAGACGUAGAAGAUGAAUUUCAAGAGAAUGUCGUAGGUGAUGAAUUUCAAGACGACAUCAUAGAUAAAAGUGAAUUUCAAGACAGUUGAAUGAAUUGAACGAAUUUUUAUUUAGGCUUGCACUUGAAAGCUUUAAAUUUGGGUGAACUAUAUAUGUAUUUUACUAGGCCUGGAUGUUGUAUUAAGUAAUUUUAGAUAUUUUGUUUAGUGUUAUGUGCUGACUCAA